GCCGCUCCUCCGCGCGCUGUUCCGCACUUGCUGCCCUCGCCCGGCCCGGGGCGCCGCUGCCAUGCGGCUGGCGCUGCUCUGGGCCCUGGGGCUCCUGGGCGCGGGCAGCCCUCUGCCUUCCUGGCCGCUCCCAAAUAUAGGUGGCACCGAGGAGCAGCAGGCAGAGUCAGAGAAGGCCCCGAGGGAGCCCUUGGAGCCCCAGGUCCUUCAGGACCUCAAAAAGGUGCUUCAGACCAGUCUGCCUGAGCCCCUGAGGAUCAAGUUGGAGCUGGACGGUGACAGUCAUAUCCUGGAGCUGCUACAGAAUAGAGAGUUGGUCCCAGGCCGUCCAACCCUGGUGUGGUACCAGCCCGAUGGCACUCGGGUGGUCAGUGAGGGACACACUCUGGAGAACUGCUGCUACCAGGGAAGAGUGCAGGGAUAUGCAGGCUCCUGGGUGUCCGUCUGCACCUGCUCUGGGCUCAGAGGCUUGGUGGUCCUGACCCCAGAGAGAAGCUAUACCCUGGAGCAGGAGCCUGGGGACCUUCAGGGUCCUCCCAUUAUUUCGCGAAUCCAAGAUCUCCACCUGCCAGGCCACACCUGUGCCCUGAGCUGGCAGGAAUCUGUAUACACUCAGACUCCACCAGAGCACCCCCUGGGACAGCGCCACAUUCGCCGGGUCCAGAAAUACCGGGACUUCCAGCACCUGCUAAACCGCACAUUGGAAGUGGCCCUCUUGCUGGACACAGUGAGUGCUGGACAGGGCAGCCCCCACCCCAGGCCCCUGACCAUGACAACCCCUCUUCUGAGCCCCAGCUGUCUUUCAGUUCUUCCGGCCCCUGAAUGUACGAGUGGCACUAGUGGGCCUGGAGGCCUGGACCCAGCGUGACCUGGUGGAGAUCAGCCCAAACCCAGCUGUCACCCUCGAAAACUUCCUCCACUGGCGCAGGGCACAUUUGCUGCCUCGAUUGCCCCACGACAGUGCCCAGCUGGUGACUGGUACUUCAUUUUCUGGGCCUACGGUGGGCAUGGCCAUUCAGAACUCCAUCUGUUCUCCUGACUUCUCAGGAGGUGUGAACAUGGACCACUCCACCAGCAUCCUGGGAGUCGCCUCCUCCAUAGCCCAUGAGUUGGGCCACAGCCUGGGCCUGGACCAUGAUUUGCCUGGGAAUAGCUGCCCCUGUCCAGGUCCAGCCCCAGCCAAGACCUGCAUCAUGGAGGCCUCCACAG
Molecule: small RNA, 1209 nt
Filed under: Pongo abelii (Sumatran orangutan)
Lineage: Eukaryota; Metazoa; Chordata; Mammalia; Primates; Hominidae
Description: processed transcript
Source: RNAcentral